UACGUAGGGGCCGAGCGUUGUCCGGAGUUAUUGGGCGUAAAGCGCGCGCAGGCGGCCUCGCGCGCCCGACGUGAAAGCCCCCGGCUUAACCGGGGAGGGUCGUUGGGGACGGCGGGGCUUGAGGGCGGGAGAGGGUGGUGGAAUUCCCGGUGUAGUGGUGAAAUGCGUAGAGAUCGGGAGGAACACCCGUGGCGAAGGCGGCUCACUGGACUGGUAUUGACGCUGAGGUGCGAAAGCGUGGGGAGCAAACAGG
RNAcentral lists this ribosomal RNA (253 nucleotides) under uncultured bacterium. RNAcentral's name for it is "partial 16S ribosomal RNA". It matches the Rfam family "Bacterial small subunit ribosomal RNA", at positions 524 to 776 of the family's 1533-position model. The record is from RNAcentral.